This is a non-coding RNA of Pelobates cultripes (western spadefoot toad), 218 nucleotides long. The record is from the annotation of a GenBank genome assembly. Lineage: Eukaryota; Metazoa; Chordata; Amphibia; Anura; Pelobatidae.
CCCAGUCUCCACUCCUUCAAAAAAUUUUGAAAACCCACUUCUUCAUAAAAGCGUAUCAAUUAAACUUUUAAUAGCUCAUGACUGAUUCCUCUUCUGCAACUGUCACUAGUCUAAUACUAUCCUUACCUUUUUGUGUCAUUUUACCCCACUCCCUCUAGCAUGUAAGCGCAUUGAGCAGGGCCCUCAACCCCUCUGUUCCUGUGUGUCCAACUUGUCUG